Molecule: RNA transcript, 4993 nt
Organism: Mus musculus (house mouse)
Lineage: Eukaryota; Metazoa; Chordata; Mammalia; Rodentia; Muridae
Gene: Asb13
Gene name: ankyrin repeat and SOCS box-containing 13
Exons: 7
Source: RefSeq, marked validated
GAGAGAGAGAGAGAGAGAGAGAGAGGAAAGAAAGAAAGAAGUUAGGCAUUUUGAUCACCAUCUUCAGUGAAAACGUUUUCUUCAAAGUUUCAGGCAUGAAGAGACUGAAUACUUUGCUCAGCGGGAUCAGUGUAAACCACAGAAGGCCAGUUUUGGCAGCUAAACACUUUUUGCACAUGGGCACGCGUUUGAGGAGCUAAACAUUUUGCAUACGAACGUAUCUUUUAGCUAGGACACCGGGAUUUAAGCUUUUCUGCCAAACACAGGAGUUGUUAAUGGACGUAUAUUCACUGGUGUCAACACGGACACAUAUUUUGCACUCUUCUGAUUUGCAUGUCACCCUUCAGCAGUGACAGCGGAGUGGGGACGCUCAGGUGGCACGCGGCGGAUACAGAAACUACAACUCCCAGCGGUGGCCAUGGUAGCAAUCAGGCCCCGCCCAGCGGCCUGCGCUCCGGGGUAGGUCUCGGUUUAGGUCCCGGCUCAGGUCCCAGAGCUCUGAGUCACAAGGCCGGUAGACAGGGGAGCCCAGCGGGCGAGCAGCAUGGAGCCGCGCGCCGGGGACGGCUGCUUCCUGGGAGAUGUGGGUUUCUGGGUGGAGCGCACGCCCGUUCAUGAGGCGGCUCAGCGGGGUGAGAGCCUCCAGCUUCAGCAGCUGAUUGACAGUGGAGCAUGUGUUAACCAGGUCACUGUGGACUCGAUCACACCCCUUCAUGCAGCAAGUCUGCAGGGCCAGGCCCAGUGUGUGCAGCUGCUGCUAGCAGCUGGUGCCCAGGUGGACGCACGCAACAUUGACGGCAGCACCCCUCUUUGUGAUGCCUGUGCCUCAGGCAGCAUUGAGUGUGUGAAGCUCUUGCUGUCCUAUGGGGCGAAAGUCAACCCUCCUUUGUACACAGCAUCCCCGCUACACGAGGCCUGCAUGAGUGGGAGUUCUGAAUGCGUGAGGCUUCUUAUUGAUGUUGGGGCCAACCUGGAAGCCCACGAUUGCCAUUUUGGGACGCCUUUACAUGUUGCCUGUGCCCGGGAGCAUUUGGACUGUGUCAAAGUGUUGCUCAAUGCAGGAUGAGCCUCUGGAAAUCUAGGGACCUACGAGAACAGACUACAGCGUUCCUGAGAACAAACAUUUAACCUGUUGAGAAGCCCUUUACUUUGCUGUGUGGGCCAAUGUGAACGCAGCCAAACUUCAUGAGACUGCGCUUCAUCAUGCAGCCAAGGUAAAGAACGUUGACCUCAUCGAGAUGCUCAUAGAGUUUGGAGGCAACAUCUAUGCCCGGGACAACCGGGGCAAGAAGCCCUCGGACUACACGUGGAGCAGCAGCGCCCCGGCCAAGUGCUUUGAGUACUAUGAAAAGACACCUCUUAGCCUCUCCCAGCUCUGCAGGGUGAGCCUGAGGAAGGCCACCGGUGUCCGAGGACUAGAGAAAGUCGCCAAGUUGAACAUCCCUCCCCGGCUCAUCGACUACCUUUCCUACAACUGAGCUGCAGGCAGGGGCCGGAAAGGCUGAUGGCUGGCCCAGUUAUCACCUUGCUUUGCCUAGCCCUGGGCAUGGUAUGAGUUCUGCCUGUUUCUCUGAAACACUAACAUUGCUGUAGAUUGGUUGAUGCUCCUUCAUGUUCCUUCUGGUUGUCCUUUUUGAUGUCUUCUUCUGAACCCAGAGAAGAUCUCUGAAGCCCCAGAAGGCCAGUGUCUGGCAUCACAGUUGUGGAUGUAACCCUUGCUAGUCUCCUGGAACAAAUGUAGUCAUUCUAGGACAGGCUCAGUUCUCUGUGUUUCUCUUUUCACCGGCCACCCUCAAAUAGAGACAGUUCAAGGUGCACAGGGGAAUCUGGGGGCUCAGAAUGCUGAUGUCGAUGGUUUUUAUCUGGGUGCCAUGCCACAGAAGCAUCAGGUUCUAAGCACUUGACCCUGUGGACUGGGACACUACUCUGCUGGCAUCGUGCCAUUUGGAUGGUUUUUCUGGGGCAGCAGCUGGCACUUUCCAAGGUCUACCUGUACCCAGGUAUAUCACUCAGGGGCUUUACAGAUCAGAGUUUGUACCCCCACAUCAAGCACUGUUUUGGGGGGGGGCGGGGAUGACUGUCUCCAAUAUUAGGACUCAAAUCUGUUAAAAAAAGUUUAUGUUGGGAGCCUGGAGAGAUAGCUUGGGGCUAGAGUUUAGUUUCCAGAACCCACAUAAGGCAGCUUACAAUGGCCCAUUACUUCAGCUCCAGGGGAUCCAACACCCUCUUCUGGCCUCCUCAAGCACUCAGACAUGUAUGUGUAUACACACACACACACACACACACACACACACACACAGAGAGAGAGAGAGAGAGAGAGAGAGAGAGAGAGAGAGAGAUAAAUAAAAUAAAAUCUUUUAAAAAGUUGGAGACCCUUUAGAUUAUAUAUAGAUGUGUAUAUAUAUAUAUAUACACAUACAUUCAUGUAUAUGCUGUAACAAGAUUUGCAAUGCAAACAAUAUAAACAAUAGCUAAUAUGAAAGUGCAAAACUUUAUCCAGAUGGGAAUGAGAUUCUUUAGCCAAAGCAGAAAAAGGGGUCACAAUUUCUUCCUAUAGUAAUAACAAUGAGUCCUGUACAUUGUGGGUGAAAUACUAAGUCUUGCAUUCAGACUGAAUUUUCCGGAUUGACAUUCUAUAUUUUAACAAUACUGAUAAUACCCCACAUACAAUAGAAAGAAUUAGAGAAUUUUCCAGUAGUCAUUCUCUACUGAGAAAAGCCACCUUCCUUCUGUCAGUCUCUGGUACAAGUUCUGAGGAAAUCCAUGUUUUUGCAUGGAAUAGUAAUAGCAGUUAUUUUCAGAAAGGCACUGGAGUCUGCCUCUUUCGUCUUUGUAACAGAAUCUUGCCUCUAGCAAUAAAACCCAAUAACAGCCCAUCUGCUAUAUCUUUUGGUAGAGAAUAAGGUUUUCUCACCAUUAUUGUCCAAUAAAAGUGGUUGGAUGAAGUUUGUCCCUGUGUCUUAUUUUUGGGGACAGUUAUGCCAGGACAGGCUUCAUACUGUGUGAGAUGAGAGAAGUUACUCCUUGUCCUAGGCACCUGAUGACUAGGAUUUGGGUCCUUGUCCACUCUUGCUUUUCCUUUCUUCUUUUGAGAUAGGGUCUCACUAUGUAGCUCUAGAUGUCCUGGAACUCACUUUAAACCGGGCUGGCUUUGAACUCAAAGAGAUCUGCCUGCCUCUGUCUCCUGAGUGCUGGGAUUAAAGCAUACACUACAACACCUGGCUCCUAUGUCCAUUAUUAAGCGGGGCUAUGGUGAUAAAAAAAAGUUUCUUUGCUUCUCUGGGCCCGAAUUGUCUUAGGUAUAAAGUUGGAAUAACCGGUCAGGCUUAGAUCACAAUUGAUCUUGACCGUAUCAUUGGCUGAUCUCUUUAACCUCCAGGUGAGGGAUGAGAGCCCUUAUCCUGUCCUAGGCUUUUGUGGGGCUGAAGUUAGGUGAUUAAAGGCUGCUUUGAUAAGGUCAGAGUGCUCCUCAUGCAUGAAAGGCAUACGGUUGUAAUUGCUCUCUGGUCGUGUUGAUGUUUGCAGAUCUUACACCUGUAUAAAUCAUUCUCUUCAGACCUUGGGAGGGUGCCAUAUAUUUCAUAGGGGUACUGUUGAUAUCUUGAAACUCAAUUCAAGUUCUGUUGACAGUUUGGAGAAGACAUUUGUAAUAUAUACAAUAAGGAACGUAUUCAAAAAUAUAAAACUAGCUGACUAUGGUAAAACUCUAGGAGUUUGAAGCCAGACUACAUAGUCAAUAUUACAUCAUGAGACCCUGUCUCAACACACACACGCACACGCACACUCUCAUGCCAAACCCCACACGCACUACCUCCCCCACAGGACCCCUCCACUUCCCCCCCUCACAUAAAUACCACACACCACACAUGUAUGCACACCCCUCUGUGUGGUGUACCCCCUGAAAUAUAUGAUACCCUCCCAAGGUCUGAAGAGAAUAAUUUAUACAGGUGUAAGAUCUGCAAAUGUGAACAAAACCAGAGAGCAAUCAUAACCAUAUGCCUUCCAUGCAUGAAGGGCACUUUAGGCUUAUCACCACCCCACUGCAUGCAUGUGCACUGCAUGAGUGUGCAAGCGCGCGCGCGCGCACACACACACACACACACACACACACACACACCACACAUACAUACCACACACAGCACACACACACACCACACUCACCAAAGACACACAUACACCACUCACCACAUCCACACACUUACUAUACACAUACCAAACACAUUCACCACACAUAUAUAUCACAUAUACACAUCACACACACACACAUAGACACGAAUCACACAUAUACACCAUACCAUACUCCCUUACAUCACAUACACACACACAUAGCACAUACACACAUAUAUAUAACCACACACACAUUCACCAUAAACACACAUACACACACCAUACACACUGUACACACUCACCGUACACACACACUCAUCAUAUACACACACACUCACCACACAUUCAACACACACACACACACAGACAGAGUAAAGAACACAUGGCCUCAGAAGGCAUUUUUUUCCGAUGCUGUAAAGCUGCCUGGCACUGCUGGAGCUCGCCUCAGCGGCUGCACUCACUACGCUGCCUGUGACCCCAGAUAGCUAUGAAAACCAAGCCAUAGCGUGUGUGUGCGCGCGCGUGCGGAUGGUAAGGAAAGCCCAUGAAGUAAUGUAUGAAAUGCCCUAGUUGUAAUUGGCUGAAUUUAGUUUAAAAACCUCCGGUCUAGCACAGCAACUCGCUCAUAUCCCAGGGCCCAACAGAGAAACAUCGUGCCAAGAGAUAAUUCACACGGACUCCACGCGGACACCUGCCAGAGGACAAGCCUGCUCCGCUGUGGUUCCUCUCCAGAGGAUGGAAAGCAGGAAAGAGAGUUGCCACUGAUCCAGGCCAUGCCAGCCAGAUCCGAAAGGGUAGUGAAGAGUGUGUGAGUGAACGAGUGCAGGCCCAUUUCACCAUUUGUUUGCUUAUUGCUGUUUAUGAAUAAAUAAACUGUUAGAACCUC